Molecule: non-coding RNA, 75 nt
Organism: Potamilus streckersoni
Lineage: Eukaryota; Metazoa; Mollusca; Bivalvia; Unionida; Unionidae
Source: the annotation of a GenBank genome assembly
UGCUCUAUUAGCUAAGAUGGUUAGGGCGUCUGCCUCGAAUGCGGGAAGUCGCGGGUUCAAACCCGACAGAGACAU